RNAcentral lists this long non-coding RNA (211 nucleotides) under Lathyrus oleraceus (garden pea). RNAcentral's name for it is "Pisum sativum (pea) long non-coding RNA (PSAT_LNC030297)". Lineage: Eukaryota; Viridiplantae; Streptophyta; Magnoliopsida; Fabales; Fabaceae. The record is from RNAcentral.
UGACUUCCGCCACCUGAGAUAUUACUCCAAAACUUCUCAACCUCCUUACCCAGAAAAUAUCCCAUAGGUGUCUCCAGGAUAGCAUCAGGAGUGGUCUGGAAACCCAGUAGGUCGCCAAACUCUUUCUGGAUGAAAGAGUACUCAACACCAAAGAGCCUGAAAGCAGCAUACCCAUCUGGUCCAGAGUAUGAGUCAUAGUCGAAUGAACUCA